GACGAACGCUGGCGGCGUGCUUAACACAUGCAAGUCGAACGAUGAACCUCGAAAUGACAUCUUCGGAAGGAUUUUCGAGAGGAUUAGUGGCGAACGGGUGAGUAACGCGUGAGCAACCUGCCUUAGACAAGGGGAUAGCCUCGGGAAACCGUGAUUAAUACCCUAUGAGACUCCGCCUACGAGUGUAGAAGAAGUUAAAGCGAUAGCGGUCUAAGAUGGGCUCGCGUCUGAUUAGCUAGUUGGUGAGAUAAAAGCCCACCAAGGCAACGAUCAGUAACCGGCUUGAGAGAGUGAACGGUCACAUUGGAACUGAGACACGGUCCAAACUCCUACGGGAGGCAGCAGUGGGGAAUAUUGCACAAUGGGGGGAACCCUGAUGCAGCGACGCCGCGUGAGCGAUGAAGGAAUUCGUUUCGUAAAGCUCUGUCCUUGGAGAAGAUAAUGACGGUAACCAAGGAGGAAGCACCGGCU
RNAcentral lists this ribosomal RNA (471 nucleotides) under uncultured bacterium. RNAcentral's name for it is "bacterial SSU rRNA". It matches the Rfam family "Bacterial small subunit ribosomal RNA", at positions 28 to 498 of the family's 1533-position model. The record is from RNAcentral.